This 248-nucleotide ribosomal RNA is filed under the name uncultured bacterium. RNAcentral describes it as "partial 16S ribosomal RNA". It matches the Rfam family "Bacterial small subunit ribosomal RNA", at positions 523 to 769 of the family's 1533-position model. The record is from RNAcentral.
AUACGUAGGGGGCAAGCGUUAUCCGGAUUUACUGGGUGUAAAGGGAGCGUAGGUGGUUCGGCAAGUCAGAUGUGAAAGCCCGGGGCUCAACCCCCGGGACUGCAUUUGAAACUGCCGUACUAGAGUGCAGGAGAGGUAAGUGGAAUUCCUAGUGUAGCGGUGAAAUGCGUAGAUAUUAGGAGGAACACCAGUGGCGAAGGCGGCUUACUGGACUGUAACCGACACUGAGGCUCGAAAGCGUGGGGAGC